AUACGGAGGGUGCGAGCGUUAAUCGGAAUUACUGGGCGUAAAGGGUCCGUAGGCGGUCUGCUUAGUCUGAUGUGAAAGCCCCGGGCUUAACCUGGGAAUGGCAUUGGAUACUGGCGGACUAGAGUCUGGUAGAGGGUGGUGGAAUUCCCGGUGUAGCGGUGAAAUGCGUAGGUAUCGGGAGGAACACCAGUGGCGAAGGCGGCCACCUGGACCAAGACUGACGCUGAGGGACGAAAGCGUGGGGAGCAAACAGGAUUAGAUACCCUAGUAGUCC
RNAcentral lists this ribosomal RNA (274 nucleotides) under uncultured bacterium. RNAcentral's name for it is "partial 16S ribosomal RNA". It matches the Rfam family "Bacterial small subunit ribosomal RNA", at positions 523 to 796 of the family's 1533-position model. The record is from RNAcentral.